This 615-nucleotide ribosomal RNA is filed under the name Lactobacillus delbrueckii. RNAcentral's name for it is "bacterial SSU rRNA". It matches the Rfam family "Bacterial small subunit ribosomal RNA", at positions 53 to 641 of the family's 1533-position model. The record is from RNAcentral. Lineage: Bacteria; Bacillati; Bacillota; Bacilli; Lactobacillales; Lactobacillaceae.
GCGAGCUUGCCUAGAUGAAUUUGGUGCUUGCACCAAAUGAAACUAGAUACAAGCGAGCGGCGGACGGGUGAGUAACACGUGGGUAACCUGCCCAAGAGACUGGGAUAACACCUGGAAACAGAUGCUAAUACCGGAUAACAACACUAGACGCAUGUCUAGAGUUUAAAAGAUGGUUCUGCUAUCACUCUUGGAUGGACCUGCGGUGCAUUAGCUAGUUGGUAAGGUAACGGCUUACCAAGGCAAUGAUGCAUAGCCGAGUUGAGAGACUGAUCGGCCACAUUGGGACUGAGACACGGCCCAAACUCCUACGGGAGGCAGCAGUAGGGAAUCUUCCACAAUGGACGCAAGUCUGAUGGAGCAACGCCGCGUGAGUGAAGAAGGGUUUCGGCUCGUAAAGCUCUGUUGGUAGUGAAGAAAGAUAGAGGUAGUAACUGGCCUUUAUUUGACGGUAAUUACUUAGAAAGUCACGGCUAACUACGUGCCAGCAGCCGCGGUAAUACGUAGGUGGCAAGCGUUGUCCGGAUUUAUUGGGCGUAAAGCGAGUGCAGGCGGUUCAAUAAGUCUGAUGUGAAAGCCUUCGGCUCAACCGGAGAAUUGCAUCAGAAACUGUUGAAC